UACGUAGGUGGCAAGCGUUGUCCGGAUUUAUUGGGCGUAAAGGGAGCGCAGGCGGUGACUUAAGUCUGAUGUGAAAGCCCACGGCUCAACCGUGGAAGGUCAUUGGAAACUGGGUCACUUGAAUGGAGCAGAGGAGAACGGAAUUCCAUGUGUAGCAGUGAAAUGCGUAGAUAUAUGGAGGAACACCAGUGGCGAAGGCGGUUCUCUGGGCUCACAUUGACGCUGAGGCUCGAAAGCGUGGGGAGCGAACAGG
This 253-nucleotide ribosomal RNA is filed under the name uncultured bacterium. RNAcentral's name for it is "partial 16S ribosomal RNA". It matches the Rfam family "Bacterial small subunit ribosomal RNA", at positions 524 to 776 of the family's 1533-position model. The record is from RNAcentral.